CAUAGGUGGAGAGAGCUUGGAUGGGUGAUUGAAGCUAAGAGGUCCAGUAGGAGCAAGCUGGACCUAGGAUGGACAUCGGGGUUACACUGCACAAGUCCAAAAGGAACGUUAGGCAACUGGAACGAUACAGCUUCGAGGAGAUGUUGUCAUAUGCCUUGGUGAUAGUGAAUGGGUACCCAUACACCUAUAAGAAGGCCAUAGAGUGCCAGGAC
This 212-nucleotide long non-coding RNA is filed under the name Elaeis guineensis (African oil palm). RNAcentral's name for it is "long non-coding RNA (EGUI_LNC042352)". The record is from RNAcentral. Lineage: Eukaryota; Viridiplantae; Streptophyta; Magnoliopsida; Arecales; Arecaceae.